AACGAACGCUGGCGGCAUGCCUAACACAUGCAAGUCGAACGAGACCUUCGGGUCUAGUGGCGCACGGGUGCGUAACGCGUGGGAACCUGCCCUUAGGUUCGGAAUAACUCCCCGAAAGGGGUGCUAAUACCGGAAAAUGUCUUCGGACCAAAGAUUUAUCGCCUUUGGAUGGGCCCGCGUUGGAUUAGCUUGUUGGUAGGGUAAAAGCCUACCACGGCGACGAUCCAUAGCUGGUCUGAGAGGAUGAUCAGCCACACUGGGACGGAGACACGGCCCAGACUCCUACGGGAGGCAGCAGUGGGGAAUAUUGGACUAUGGGCGAAAGCCUGAUCCAGCUAUGCCGCGUGAGUGAUGAAGGCCUUAGGGUUGUAAAGCUCUUUUACCCGGGAUGAUAAUGACAGUACCGGGAGAAUAAGCACCGGCUAACUCCGUG
RNAcentral lists this ribosomal RNA (433 nucleotides) under uncultured bacterium. RNAcentral's name for it is "partial 16S ribosomal RNA". It matches the Rfam family "Bacterial small subunit ribosomal RNA", at positions 29 to 507 of the family's 1533-position model. The record is from RNAcentral.